ACUCCCAGAAGACAUGGGGGUGCGGGUGGGGGAGAUCCCAACCUCAGCCGCACGGCAAGCGCCGCACCGGUGUCGGUGUCGCCCCACAGGGCAGACUGUGGGCUCAGCGCGUGGCGCCCGGAGCAUCUGACUAGAACAGAGUUUGGGGAGGGGGUGGAAAUCCCCGAACAAAGCCAGGUCCCCGCGGGGGACCUGAAGACGACUUGAGGAAACUGAGGCAGAGCGCCAGAUGUGCAGACGGGCCGACUGCCCUCGCCAGGGGCCCCGCCCCUCGGCUUGGCGGCUCCGCGGCGCGCAGCACCUUUUGCUCAACCCGAGUUAGCCAAGAGGGGCGCCCUACCCACCUCCUACGCACUCCCCAAACUCCCCGGCACGCUGUCCUGUCUCCCAGUCUCCGGUCAAAAGGGCUUGGAUUCCGCCUUCUCGGAGCCAACUUCCUGCCGCUGGGUAAGCGCAGUCAGGGGUUCGCGGCCGAGCCCGUGGGGGGCCGCCUGGAGUCGUGGAGAGGGCGCACGACGACCACUCCCCGGUGCAGCGGGGGCACGGCGACGCGUGCGCGCCCCCGACCCCGGCCAGGCCCCCCACCCCCGCCGCCACGGCUCGGAUCCCGCGACCCGAGAGGACCGAGCCCGCCUUUGAUUCCUCCCCCUUGCCACGCAUGCUCACCUGGCUAGGCGGACCCGGGUCCCGGCCCUGGCCGGAGGGGCUUUGGCAUCAGCGUUCCCGGGACGGCCUCGGCUGGGGCUGGGGCUGCCCGCCGGGCUCGGCUGCGUCCCGGGGCUGGGGACUAGACGGAGCGGGGGGCGGGGAGAGGCGCCGCCUUGGCCCCCCCACUCGCCCCGCCCUCCUCUCCUCCCCUUUCGGGAGGCCGCAGCAAGCAAUGAAUUCCAGAUGUGGUCUGGCUGCCCGGCGCGCGCGGAGGCCGGCGGGGGCGGUGCGCCAGUCCCUUUGUCCGCGCCCCCCCCCCCUCCCCCGGGCCCUGCCCCUCCCAGGUCCUCCCGUGAGAACCAGCUGGAGCUUGACGUCACUCGGCCCCGUGACUUUAUGUCCCUCCUCGCCAGGUGGCCUGAACCUGAAACAGCUGUCUGCAAGUACAGAUUUAUUCUGGCCCAUCCCUGGGACCCUGGAAUUGGAGGAGAGCACGGGAUCCCCUUUACUCAACAAGGAGCCACGAAGCACCUACUGUGUGUCAACGCAGCAAUCAGCCACCAAGGCCUAUUGUGUGUUCAUUUAAAAAAUAAUCAAGUUCCUACCAUGUGCCACGCACUGUCCCAAAUACAGAACUGAUUUUUGCCUUGAUGGGAUCCCAGAAUUCCGCGCUGCCUCCUGUCCCCUAGAAGACGAAACCCACAGCCUACCUGCUGUUGCCCAUGGCUGCCCCGCCCUCGCUGCCAGGUCCAAGUUGUACCCUGCCUUCCAACUUGGGGCCCAUCCUCUAUCUGGUUCUUGAGUUUCCCCCUCUUUUCCUCAUUCAGCCUGCACUAGUUGUGAACAUGCAUGAGUAACCUGCUUAUAUGUUUAUUUACCAAAUACAUGAAACAUCUGGUAGGUGCCAGACACUGUUCUAAAGGAUAGAGACAAAUCAGGGUACAAAACAGGUAAAACUCCCGGCCCCUUGCGACUGAUGUUCUACCUGAUGUGUGCAGAAUAUCCAGAAUAUUGCAAGAAGAAACUGGUAAAUGUCCUGGGGGAGGAGGCGGUUCCACUCUGUGAAUCCUUUGUACCUUUUGGCUGUUGUAACGUGCACAUUAUUGUACCAUGUUUAAAUAUUCCAACAAUAAAUUAAAUUAAAAAUUAA
Myotis daubentonii (Daubenton's bat) is the source of this 1798-nucleotide long non-coding RNA. RefSeq lists it as uncharacterized. Lineage: Eukaryota; Metazoa; Chordata; Mammalia; Chiroptera; Vespertilionidae. The record is from RefSeq and is a predicted model, not a curated record.